Molecule: ribosomal RNA, 495 nt
Filed under: uncultured bacterium
Lineage: Bacteria
Description: partial 16S ribosomal RNA
Rfam family: Bacterial small subunit ribosomal RNA
Source: RNAcentral
GAUGAACGCUAGCGGGAGGCCUAACACAUGCAAGCCGAGCGGUAGAAUCUUUUCGGAGAUUUGAGAGCGGCGUACGGGUGAGGAACACGUGUGCAACCCGCCUUUAUCUGGGAGAUAGCCUUUCGAAAGGAAGAUUCAUAUCCCAUACUAUAUUGAGUGGCAUCACUUACUAUUGAAAGCUGCGGCGGAUAGCGAUGGGCACGCGCAGGAUUGGAUAGUUGGUGAGGUAACGGCGCACCAAGUCUACGAUCUUUAGGGGGCCUGAGAGGGUGAUCCCCCACACUGGUACUGAGACACGGACCAGACUCCUACGGGAGGCAGCAGUGAGGAAUAUUGGACAAUGGGUGCAAGCCUGAUCCAGCCAUCCCGCGUGAAGGAUUAAGGUCCUAUGGAUUGUAAACUUCUUUUAUACAGGGAUAAACCUCUCCUCGUGAGGAGAGCUGAAGGUACUGUAUGAAUAAGCACCGGCUAACUCCGUGCCAGCCGCCGCCGUAA